RNAcentral lists this ribosomal RNA (247 nucleotides) under uncultured bacterium. RNAcentral describes it as "partial 16S ribosomal RNA". It matches the Rfam family "Bacterial small subunit ribosomal RNA", at positions 796 to 1041 of the family's 1533-position model. The record is from RNAcentral.
CACGCUGUAAACGAUGGAUACUUGAUGUAGGAGGUAUUGACCCCUUCUGUGUCGGAGCUAACGCGUUAAGUAUCCCGCCUGGGGAGUACGGUCGCAAGAUUAAAACUCAAAGAAAUUGACGGGGGCCCGCACAAGCGGUGGAGUAUGUGGUUUAAUUCGAUGCAACGCGAAAAACCUUACCUGGGUUUGGCAUUCUCUGAAGACUAUAGAGAUAUAGGGGGCCCGAAAGGGACAGAGUAACAGGUGC